Molecule: transfer RNA, 74 nt
Filed under: Phytophthora ramorum (sudden oak death agent)
Lineage: Eukaryota; Oomycota; Peronosporomycetes; Peronosporales; Peronosporaceae
Description: tRNA-Gln for anticodon CUG
Rfam family: tRNA (bases 6-66)
About the family: Transfer RNA (tRNA) molecules are approximately 80 nucleotides in length. Their secondary structure includes four short double-helical elements and three loops (D, anti-codon, and T loops).
Source: RNAcentral
GAGGAUAUGGUGUAAUGGUUAGCACUCUGGACUCUGAAUCCAGCGAUCCGGGUUCAAAUCCCGGUAGGACCUCG